UACGUAGGGUGCAAGCGUUGUCCGGAAUUAUUGGGCGUAAAGAGCUUGUAGGCGGUCUGUCGCGUCUGGUGUGAAAAUCCAGGGCUUAACCCUGGACCUGCAUCGGGUACGGGCAGACUAGAGUGCGGUAGGGGAGAUCGGAAUUCCUGGUGUAGCGGUGGAAUGCGCAGAUAUCAGGAGGAACACCGAUGGCGAAGGCAGAUCUCUGGGCCGUAACUGACGCUGAGGAGCGAAAGCAUGGGGAGCGAACAGG
Molecule: ribosomal RNA, 253 nt
Filed under: uncultured bacterium
Lineage: Bacteria
Description: partial 16S ribosomal RNA
Rfam family: Bacterial small subunit ribosomal RNA
Source: RNAcentral